UGGGGAAUAUUGGACAAUGGGCGAAAGCCUGAUCCAGCCAUGCCGCGUGUGUGAAGAAGGUCUUCGGAUUGUAAAGCACUUAAGUUGGGAGGAAGGGCAUUAACCUAAUACGUUAGUGUUUUGACGUUACCGACAGAAUAAGCACCGGCUAACUCUGUGCCAGCAGCCGCGGUAAUACAGAGGGUGCAAGCGUUAAUCAGAAUUACUGGGCGUAAAGCGCGCGUAGGUGGUUUGUUAAGUUGGAUGUGAAAUCCCCGGGCUCAACCUGGGAACUGCAUUCAAAACUGACUGACUAGAGUAUGGUAGAGGGUGGUGGAAUUUCCUGUGUAGCGGUGAAAUGCGUAGAUAUAGGAAGGAACACCAGUGGCGAAGGCGACCACCUGGACUAAUACUGACACUGAGGUGCGAAAGCGUGGGGAGCAAACA
RNAcentral lists this ribosomal RNA (426 nucleotides) under uncultured bacterium. RNAcentral's name for it is "partial 16S ribosomal RNA". It matches the Rfam family "Bacterial small subunit ribosomal RNA", at positions 355 to 774 of the family's 1533-position model. The record is from RNAcentral.